Molecule: long non-coding RNA, 263 nt
Filed under: Homo sapiens (human)
Lineage: Eukaryota; Metazoa; Chordata; Mammalia; Primates; Hominidae
Description: HSALNT0124521
Source: RNAcentral
GGAAAGAUGACAUCCACUGACUUGUUAUUUUUUUGAGAAGGAGUCUUGCUCUGUUGCCCAGGCUGGAGUGUGGUGGCACGAUCUCGGCUCACUGAUGAUGAGAAGAAAGAUCUUGCCAUUCAAAAGAGGAUCAGAGUGGAAGCUUCUCUGUGGUGUCAGAAAGACGAGGAAUGUGGUGACCUCACCUAUCCAUCUCCCUCAAGGCAGCUUUUGCUUAAGUUCUUGGACUCACUGAGGCAGUAAAAGAACCAUAUCCUGUGUUU